UACGUAGGGGGCAAGCGUUAUCCGGAAUCACUGGGUGUAAAGGGUGCGUAGGCGGUUAUGCAAGUCAGAUGUGAAAUACCGAGGCUCAACUUCGGAACUGCAUUUGAAACUGUGUGACUAGAGUACAGGAGAGGUAAGUGGAAUUCCUAGUGUAGCGGUGAAAUGCGUAGAUAUUAGGAAGAACACCAGUGGCGAAGGCGACUUACUGGACUGAAACUGACGCUGAGGCACGAAAGCGUGGGGAGCAAACAGG
This 253-nucleotide ribosomal RNA is filed under the name uncultured bacterium. RNAcentral's name for it is "partial 16S ribosomal RNA". It matches the Rfam family "Bacterial small subunit ribosomal RNA", at positions 524 to 776 of the family's 1533-position model. The record is from RNAcentral.